CAGAUCAAACGAUGGUGGGUGGGAUCCACGAUUGAUUCUCCUCCUCGUAGGCAGCACACAGCCGCCGGAGAAGCCCGUGGUGAACGAUGUCACGCCGACCUCCUCGUGGCCAUCCCCAACCUCUCAUAGGUACUGCACUAACUCCCCAGGGGCACAUCAAGUGUUCGGUCCUUAUUUUGUCUGCUGAUUCCUAGUGCUGGCGUUCGAAAGAGAUUAGUGAUUGGUGGCUCAGGUUAGGUACUCUCCUAUUUGUUGCUAGACAUUGCUAAUCUUCCGGCCUCUCUAAUCACCCCACGGACGGAGCUCAUGUAUAGAGGUUGGAUGCAACUGGCACCAAUGAUUCUCAUGUAACGAAGAAGCAGCCCCUGUAAAAUUUGUUCAUGAAUGACCCCAAAAAUCCAUACGUCCAGGUGAUGGAAUGCACAAAUCAAUUCUAAACUCACCUACAAUCAAAGCUUUGUUGCUUGUGUCACUGUGUGUGUUAUGGAAAAAUAGCCCAUUAUAUACACGGUUUCAAUCCAUCCAAUCACUUCAUUUUCUUCUUUCUCGGCCUAUCACCCGGCCUCCAACCUAGACAUUUCUGAAGUAUUACUGUGCUACCUAAAAUGCAACAUGCAUGAUAUUAGUGUUUUAUCAUUGACUUGUACUUUUCCCCAUGUUAUUAAUGUAUGUAGGGUUGCAAGUCGUUCAUUCAGGAAGACCUCCUCAACAAUUACACUGAGCAGAUGGUCAACUACUGCAGAAUGGCUAUGGACAGUUGUCACGAAGAUGCAUUGGCUACUGCCUACUGCGGCCUUGUUUUGAAGGAGAAGGAUCAACAAAUAUCAGAAUUAGAGACCAAACUAUACUCUCUAGCGUCAGAGCUGCAUACUUCAGGGGAGAAGGACACGUCGAAUAAGAUAAUGCUCGCCAAGAAAUUACAAGAAGGGAGAUACAGAUGUAUUAUAUACUUAAUACUUUUUUGGUUCGUCAUGAUCAUAUAUGUUGCUAGAAUUUUAAUCCCCACUUUGUAAGACUAGAUGUCAGCUAGAGAAUUUUUUUGUGGGCCUGAGAUCAUUCAUUGUUGAACUAAAUGAACGUAUUGGAUCUUGGCGGUUUUCUUGCUCUUACUGAUUCAUAAUGCGCCGAUGGUCCAAGAGAAAGCGUCUGAACAUUCAGAUCGAUUUUGAAACAUGAUUGAUCAAUUCCAUGUAAUGUAUGAUUGGCACGGGCAUGCAUGGCCACUGUGAUAAGGAUU
Molecule: long non-coding RNA, 1237 nt
Filed under: Triticum aestivum (bread wheat)
Lineage: Eukaryota; Viridiplantae; Streptophyta; Magnoliopsida; Poales; Poaceae
Description: long non-coding RNA (TAES_LNC002364)
Source: RNAcentral